RNAcentral lists this ribosomal RNA (440 nucleotides) under uncultured Pantoea sp. RNAcentral describes it as "bacterial SSU rRNA". It matches the Rfam family "Bacterial small subunit ribosomal RNA", at positions 358 to 790 of the family's 1533-position model. The record is from RNAcentral. Lineage: Bacteria; Pseudomonadati; Pseudomonadota; Gammaproteobacteria; Enterobacterales; Erwiniaceae.
GGAAUAUUGCACAAUGGGCGCAAGCCUGAUGCAGCCAUGCCGCGUGUAUGAAGAAGGCCUUCGGGUUGUAAAGUACUUUCAGCGGGGAGGAAGGCGACGGGGUUAAUAACCCUGUCGAUUGACGUUACCCGCAGAAGAAGCACCGGCUAACUCCGUGCCAGCAGCCGCGGUAAUACGGAGGGUGCAAGCGUUAAUCGGAAUUACUGGGCGUAAAGCGCACGCAGGCGGUCUGUUAAGUCAGAUGUGAAAUCCCCGGGCUUAACCUGGGAACUGCAUUUGAAACUGGCAGGCUUGAGUCUUGUAGAGGGGGGUAGAAUUCCAGGUGUAGCGGUGAAAUGCGUAGAGAUCUGGAGGAAUACCGGUGGCGAAGGCGGCCCCCUGGACAAAGACUGACGCUCAGGUGCGAAAGCGUGGGGAGCAAACAGGAUUAGAUACCCUUG